Molecule: long non-coding RNA, 1039 nt
Filed under: Mytilus galloprovincialis (Mediterranean mussel)
Lineage: Eukaryota; Metazoa; Mollusca; Bivalvia; Mytilida; Mytilidae
Source: RNAcentral
UGCACAUUUUUGGCUAAAUGUGACCAUUUUGAAAAAAAAUAAUUUGAAAAUUUGGUAUUGUUUAUAUCUUUCUCAAGUUAGAUUUUAUGUGACUUUUUUUUCUGUGUAUAUUUUUGGUUACAAUGCUAAAGAUUAAAACUUAAAAAUCUUCUGUUGCAAUUACUUUUAGGUUAGGGUCAAAUUUAUGCUAAAUUGACACAGGCACUCGUCUCAGAUCCCCCCUAAUAUAUUAAGGUAUAUAGGAAUUUUUUUUCUGAGACAAGUGCCUGUGUAAAUUGACUGGACUAAAGGUACAGUCCAUUCUAUUGAAAAUGAUAAUUUCAUAUAAGUUACACAGGACUGAUGUAAAACUUAUUUUUACUAGAGCUCAUCAUUGAUCUACUCAGAUUAGAUCUGAACAGGAAUAGUUACAGAUAAACGCAAAAUUCUGAUGAUUAUUUUAAAAUUUUAAAACCAUUUUAUCAACAGUGAGCAAUGGUGAGCAAUAAGUUUUGUGGUCUGAUAUGUUGACAAAAUGGUAAACUCUAAUUGUUUUAAUGUUACAAAGCUGAUUUAUAAAAGCAAGCAACAAUAAUAAUACAAACAACCUUUUUUAGCUGAAUCAAGUUCAGUAUCAAAGUUCCUUAAAGGUAACCUUAUUGGAACAACCCCACUUCAAAAGUUAAAGUUAUCUGAUGGAAAUAAUCUCAUUCCAGAACCAUUCUAGCAUGUUUACAAUAGAAAACAGAGGAUUUCCAAUACUGACUUGAUGCAUUAUAAAAAUAGAUAUUGGCAUUACUUAAUCAUAUUAAUACUGUCGAAGCUGUACAGUGGAUUUAUAAACAAUAGAACCAAAUGUCUGCCUCAAUAUGACCGCCCCAUAAUAAGUGUUCUAUGCUUUCUGGUUCUUCCUUGCAAAAUGUACAUAAAUUACACUGUACACGGUUCAUCUUUAAAAGUAAAGUAUCAGUACCUAAAAUAUGGUGAAUAAUUCGGUAUUGAAACUAACAGAGCUUGGUAUUUUUUGAAAUUUUAGUGACACAGUUAUGGAUUUUUUUCC